This 253-nucleotide ribosomal RNA is filed under the name uncultured bacterium. RNAcentral's name for it is "partial 16S ribosomal RNA". It matches the Rfam family "Bacterial small subunit ribosomal RNA", at positions 524 to 776 of the family's 1533-position model. The record is from RNAcentral.
UACGGAGGGGGCUAGCGUUGUUCGGAAUUACUGGGCGUAAAGCGCACGUAGGCGGCUUUGUAAGUUAGAGGUGAAAGCCCGGGGCUCAACUCCGGAAUUGCCUUUAAGACUGCAUCGCUAGAAUUGUGGAGAGGUAAGUGGAAUUCGAGUGUAGAGGUGAAAUUCGUAGAUAUUCGGAAGAACACCAGUGGCGAAGGCGACUUACUGGACACAUAUUGACGCUGAGGUGCGAAAGCGUGGGGGAGCAAACAGG